Long non-coding RNA from Homo sapiens (human), 1328 nucleotides. Ensembl annotates it as FTX transcript, XIST regulator. Its record names the gene FTX. The record is from Ensembl. NCBI's taxonomy places the organism in Eukaryota, Metazoa, Chordata, Mammalia, Primates, Hominidae.
AUGCGCAAGGCUUGAAUGGCGUCGGGGUUGGAGGGUUGGAAGGUCGGGAAGUGAAGGACUCGCAGGCAUAUUUAACAACGCAAAGUUGCUAGGAGUUGGUACCAGCGUUUGGGAGGUAGAGGUGGCGCUCAUGCAUAUUUGAGACAACAUCUGGAUGGUUGGGGAGAACGGUGAUGCCACACUCAAUCAGAAACUAUGCUACUGCUGAAGAGGUAUAUUGAGCCCUGCCUGGUUAACCUCCAGUGAGGUUAUUAGAGAAUUGGGAGAGGCUCAAAUCAGCAUCCUGCACCUAGUUAUCAAACCAUUGUGAAGUCUUGAUUCCUGGAUGGCCAGAAAACUUGUCAUUGGUCAAGAGCAACAUUAAGAUCUGCCUGUUACUCAUACUGAUGCUUCCUGCCCAGCAAGUUCAUCAGAGGGCGAGGAUGAAUUACGGUUGCCAUGAAUGUCCUUGUGAGGCAGUUGGGAAGCCUUGGCUGGAUUGUGAAGGAUAUUUGAAAAGUAUUUUAGAGUCCACCAGAUCAUCCAUGUGAGUGACCAUGCAGCAAAAGAAGGAGGGUCCUCUCAGUGAUUAAGAUAAUCAGCAACUGCUGUGAUGAGAUGCUGCCUUUAAUGCUGCUGCAUGUGGUCAAACCUCCACUCCCAGUCUACCCAGACCAGGACUUGGCUUCCAGGAUCCAGGGGUGUCUGUGUGAAAUGAUCAGCCUGGGCCCCCAAGCAGGUCACUCCCAGCACAGAGAUGUCAUUGAUUGUACCACCGUCAUCAGGCUGUCUUCCGCCCUCAGGGAAAAGUAGCAUGUCUUCCAGCACCAUAUGACAACUGCUCAGCACUUAUUUCUUGUCAUUGCUCCCUUCUGACUGCAGCUCCGUGGGAUCACAGGAGAUUAUGGUGGUGGUGGACUCCCAGGCAUUGCUAUUCUCCUGACACCAGAACACCAUCAUGGUCAUCUCUGAGGCAUCAGUAGUGUUUCUAUAUGCCAACAGUGAACAAUCUGAAAAAGAUAUUAAAAAGUAAUCUCAUUUACAAUAGCCACACAUAAAAUUAAAUACCUAGGAAUUAACCAAAGAAGUUAAAUAUCUCUAUAAUGAAAACUAUAAAACACUGAUGAAUGAAAUUGAUGAGAUCACCAAAAAUGAAAAAAUAUUCCAUGUUCAUGGAUUGGAAGAAUCAAUAUUGUUAAAAUGUCCAUACUACCCAAAGCAAUCUACAGAUUCAGUGCAAUCCCUAUAAAAAUACCAAUGACAUUCUUCACAGAAAUAUGAUCCUAAAAUGUAUACAGAACCACAAAGACCCAGAAUAGCCAAAGCUAUCCUAAGCAAAAAGAACAAAA